GGGUAACCUGCCCAUAAGACUGGGAUAACUCCGGGAAACCGGGGCUAAUACCGGAUAACAUUUUGAACCGCAUGGUUCGAAAUUGAAAGGCGGCUUCGGCUGUCACUUAUGGAUGGACCCGCGUCGCAUUAGCUAGUUGGUGAGGUAACGGCUCACCAAGGCAACGAUGCGUAGCCGACCUGAGAGGGUGAUCGGCCACACUGGGACUGAGACACGGCCCAGACUCCUACGGGAGGCAGCAGUAGGGAAUCUUCCGCAAUGGACGAAAGUCUGACGGAGCAACGCCGCGUGAGUGAUGAAGGCUUUCGGGUCGUAAAACUCUGUUGUUAGGGAAGAACAAGUGCUAGUUGAAUAAGCUGGCACCUUGACGGUACCUAACCAGAAAGCCACGGCUAACUACGUGCCAGCAGCCGCGGUAAUACGUAUGUGGCAAGCGUUAUCCGGAAUUAUUGGGCGUAAAGCGCGCGCAGGUGGUUUCUUAAGUCUGAUGUGAAAGCCCACGGCUCAACCGUGGAGGGUCAUUGGAAAACUGGGAGACUUGAGUGCAGAAGAGGAAAGUGGAAUUCCAUGUGUAGCGGUGAAAUGCGUAGAGAUAUGGAGGAACACCAGUUGGCGAAGCGACUUUCUGGUCUGUAACUGACACUGAAGCGCGAAAAAGCGUGGGGAAGCAAACAGGAUUAGAUAACCCUGGUAGUCCACGCCGUAAACGAUGAGUUGCUU
Molecule: ribosomal RNA, 720 nt
Filed under: bacterium
Lineage: Bacteria
Description: bacterial SSU rRNA
Rfam family: Bacterial small subunit ribosomal RNA
Source: RNAcentral